AACGAACGCUGGCGGCAUGCCUAACACAUGCAAGUCGAACGAGACCUUCGGGUCUAGUGGCGCACGGGUGCGUAACGCGUGGGAACCUGCCCUUAGGUUCGGAAUAACUCCCCGAAAGGGGUGCUAAUACCGGAUAAUGUCUUCGGACCAAAGAUUUAUCGCCUUUGGAUGGGCCCGCGUUGGAUUAGCUAGUUGGUAGGGUAAAAGCCUACCAAGGCGACGAUCAAUAGCUGGUCUGAGAGGAUGAUCAGCCACACUGGGACUGAGACACGGCCCAGACUCUGCGGGAAGGAGGGAGUGGGGAAUAUAGAAAAAGGGGCGAAGGCAUGAACCACCAAGGCGGGGUGAGUAAUGAGGGCUUGGGGGUAGAAAACCUUUUUAACCGGGGAUGAUAAUGACGGAACGGGAAAAAUAAGCCCGGGCUAACCCCGGC
This 433-nucleotide ribosomal RNA is filed under the name uncultured bacterium. Its description in RNAcentral is "partial 16S ribosomal RNA". It matches the Rfam family "Bacterial small subunit ribosomal RNA", at positions 29 to 508 of the family's 1533-position model. The record is from RNAcentral.